Small nucleolar RNA from Cavia porcellus (domestic guinea pig), 123 nucleotides. NCBI's taxonomy places the organism in Eukaryota, Metazoa, Chordata, Mammalia, Rodentia, Caviidae. The record is from Ensembl.
GGCAUUAGUGUGUAUAACUUGUGUGUAUAACAAAGCUAUAUAGAGAGGUGCAAAAAAUAAAUCCUCUUUUGCAAUUUAAAACUCAUUGUUAAGUAUGUUUUGAUACUUAUAAGAAGGAAUAUU